Molecule: ribosomal RNA, 357 nt
Filed under: uncultured bacterium
Lineage: Bacteria
Description: bacterial SSU rRNA
Rfam family: Bacterial small subunit ribosomal RNA
Source: RNAcentral
GGACGAACGCUGGCGGCGUGCUUAACACAAUGCAAGUCGAGCGAGACCCUUCUUCGGGAGGGUGUUCUAGCGGCGAACGGGUGAAGUAACACGUGGGCAACCUGCCCUCAGCUCUGGGAUAACUCCAAGAAAUUGGGGCUAAUACCGGAUAUGACCGCUGACCGCAUGGUCUGGUGGUGGAAAGAUUUAUCGGCUGGGGAUGGGCCCGCGGCCUAUCAGCUUGUUGGUGGGGUAUGGCCACCAAGGCGACGACGGGUAGCCGGCCUGAGAGGGUGACCGGCCACACUGGGACUGAGACACGGCCCAGACUCCUACGGGAGGCAGCAGUGGGGAAUAUUGCGCAAUGGGCGAAAGCCU